UUUAUGGAGAGUUUGAUCCUGGCUCAGGAUGAACGCUGGCGGCGUGCCUAAUACAUGCAAGUCGAGCGAACGGACGAGAAGCUUGCUUCUCUGAUGUUAGCGGCGGACGGGUGAGUAACACGUGGAUAACCUACCUAUAAGACUGGGAUAACUUCGGGAAACCGGAGCUAAUACCGGAUAAUAUUUUGAACCGCAUGGUUCAAAAGUGAAAGACGGUCUUGCUGUCACUUAUAGAUGGAUCCGCGCUGCAUUAGCUAGUUGGUAAGGUAACGGCUUACCAAGGCAACGAUGCAUAGCCGACCUGAGAGGGUGAUCGGCCACACUGGAACUGAGACACGGUCCAGACUCCUACGGGAGGCAGCAGUAGGGAAUCUUCCGCAAUGGGCGAAAGCCUGACGGAGCAACGCCGCGUGAGUGAUGAAGGUCUUCGGAUCGUAAAACUCUGUUAUUAGGGAAGAACAUAUGUGUAAGUAACUGUGCACAUCUUGACGGUACCUAAUCAGAAAGCCACGGCUAACUACGUGCCAGCAGCCGCGGUAAUACGUAGGUGGCAAGCGUUAUCCGGAAUUAUUGGGCGUAAAGCGCGCGUAGGCGGUUUUUUAAGUCUGAUGUGAAAGCCCACGGCUCAACCGUGGAGGGUCAUUGGAAACUGGAAAACUUGAGUGCAGAAGAGGAAAGUGGAAUUCCAUGUGUAGCGGUGAAAUGCGCAGAGAUAUGGAGGAACACCAGUGGCGAAGGCGACUUUCUGGUCUGUAACUGACGCUGAUGUGCGAAAGCGUGGGGAUCAAACAGGAUUAGAUACCCUGGUAGUCCACGCCGUAAACGAUGAGUGCUAAGUGUUAGGGGUUUCCGCCCCUUAGUGCUGCAGCUAACGCAUUAAGCACUCCGCCUGGGAGUACGACCGCAAGGUUGAAACUCAAAGGAAUUGACGGGGACCCGCACAAGCGGUGGAGCAUGUGGUUUAAUUCGAAGCAACGCGAAGAACCUUACCAAAUCUUGACAUCCUUUGACAACUCUAGAGAUAGAGCCUUCCCCUUCGGGGGACAAAGUGACAGGUGGUGCAUGGUUGUCGUCAGCUCGUGUCGUGAGAUGUUGGGUUAAGUCCCGCAACGAGCGCAACCCUUAAGCUUAGUUGCCAUCAUUAAGUUGGGCACUCUAAGUUGACUGCCGGUGACAAACCGGAGGAAGGUGGGGAUGACGUCAAAUCAUCAUGCCCCUUAUGAUUUGGGCUACACACGUGCUACAAUGGACAAUACAAAGGGCAGCGAAACCGCGAGGUCAAGCAAAUCCCAUAAAGUUGUUCUCAGUUCGGAUUGUAGUCUGCAACUCGACUACAUGAAGCUGGAAUCGCUAGUAAUCGUAGAUCAGCAUGCUACGGUGAAUACGUUCCCGGGUCUUGUACACACCGCCCGUCACACCACGAGAGUUUGUAACACCCGAAGCCGGUGGAGUAACCUUUUAGGAGCUAGCCGUCGAAGGUGGGACAAAUGAUUGGGGUGAAGUCGUAACAAGGUAGCCGUAUCGGAAGGUGCGGCUGGAUCACCUCCUUU
Molecule: ribosomal RNA, 1550 nt
Filed under: Staphylococcus aureus
Lineage: Bacteria; Bacillati; Bacillota; Bacilli; Caryophanales; Staphylococcaceae
Description: 16S ribosomal RNA
Rfam family: Bacterial small subunit ribosomal RNA
Source: RNAcentral